GACGAACGCUGGCGGCGUGCUUAACACAUGCAAGUCGAACGGAAAGGCCCCCUUGUGGGGUACUCGAGUGGCGAACGGGUGAGUAACACGUGAGUAACCUACCCUUGACUUUGGGAUAACUUCAGGAAACUGGGGCUAAUACCGGAUAGGAGCUCCUGCUGCAUGGUGGGGGUUGGAAAGUUUCGGCGGUUGGGGAUGGACUCGCGGCUUAUCAGCUUGUUGGUGGGGUAGUGGCUCACCAAGGCUUUGACGGGUAGCCGGCCUGAGAGGGUGACCGGCCACAUUGGGACUGAGAUACGGCCCAGACUCCUACGGGAGGCAGCAGUGGGGAAUAUUGCACAAUGGGCGGAAGCCUGAUGCAGCAACGCCGCGUGCGGGAUGACGGCCUUCGGGUUGUAAACCGCUUUCGCCUGUGACGAAGCGUGAGUGACGGUAAUGGGGAAAGAAACACCGGCUAACUACGU
Molecule: ribosomal RNA, 464 nt
Filed under: uncultured bacterium
Lineage: Bacteria
Description: partial 16S ribosomal RNA
Rfam family: Bacterial small subunit ribosomal RNA
Source: RNAcentral